GCCUUCUUCGCCGAUCCGGAAGUUGCGGUGCCUUUCCUCUUGUGGGCCUUGAGACCCCUGGCUAGCAUCCGAGCUACGUCUGCGUCCAUAUCUGCAAUUGAAAAAAGAUCGGUACAGCUUAGAAACAGAACAAGAGAAAAGGGGAAGCAGCGAAUGACUUAAAAAAAAAAGAAGAGAAAAAAAAUAAAAUACCGACAGAGUUGAGAGGGCUUAGGCCGAUGUUAAAUAAGAGUUGCUCCUUCAGAAGGUCAGAGAGGAGAGGAGCUAGAUAAGCCUUAAGUUUAUUGAAGGCUUCAAGAU
RNAcentral lists this long non-coding RNA (300 nucleotides) under Elaeis guineensis (African oil palm). Its description in RNAcentral is "long non-coding RNA (EGUI_LNC076710)". The record is from RNAcentral. Lineage: Eukaryota; Viridiplantae; Streptophyta; Magnoliopsida; Arecales; Arecaceae.